Molecule: ribosomal RNA, 640 nt
Filed under: Mastotermes darwiniensis (giant northern termite)
Lineage: Eukaryota; Metazoa; Arthropoda; Insecta; Blattodea; Mastotermitidae
Description: partial 16S ribosomal RNA
Source: RNAcentral
UAAAUAUAUCACCAAUAAAGAGGAGUUUAUUAUAUCCUCUAAUCACCCCAACCAAACCAGAAAAUAAUUCAUCUUCAAAAUCAACAAACAUAAACAAUUAUAUACCGGUAAAACUCUAUAGGGUCUUCUCGUCCCAUACAAACAUUUAAGUGUUUUAACUUAAAAACCAAAUUCAAUAACAUUUCAAAGGGACAGUAUGUGCCUCGUCAAACCAUUCAUUCCAGCCCUCAAUUAAAAGACUAAUGAUUAUGCUACCUUUGCACGGUCAAUAUACCGCGGCCCUUCAAAAACUCCAGCGGGCAGGUAAUACUUCAAAUUAAUUCCAAGAAGAGAUGUUUUUGUUAAACAGGCGGGCACAAAAAUUUUGCCUAGUUCCCUAAAUAAACCUAACUGGUUUCUCAUUAAUUUUUAAAAAUUUAAUUUACUAAUUCCACCAUUAUUACGAAAAAUAAAUAAUUAUAAUAAAUAUUCCAAUAUAAAACUUAAAUUCAACAUAAAUCAAACCAAAAACUAAAUAAAGUUAUAACACACUUAAAAUGAUAGUUACCAUAAAACCCACAAAAAUUAAUAAGAACAAUAUUAUAAAAUUAUGUCAUGAAGCUAAUCCCCCAAAACAUUAGUGCCAAAUAAAGAAAACCGU